This 497-nucleotide ribosomal RNA is filed under the name uncultured bacterium. RNAcentral's name for it is "partial 16S ribosomal RNA". It matches the Rfam family "Bacterial small subunit ribosomal RNA", at positions 28 to 507 of the family's 1533-position model. The record is from RNAcentral.
GACGAACGCUGGCGGCGUGCCUAAUACAUGCAAGUUGAGCGCUGAAGGUUGGUACUUGUACCAACUGGAUGAGCAGCGAACGGGUGAUUAACGCGUGGGGAAUUGGCCUUUGGGGGGGGGAAAACAUUGGGAAACGAAAGUUAAUACCCCAUAAAAACUUUAAACACAAGUUUAAUGUUUGAAAGAUGCAAUUGCUUAACCCAAAGAGGAUCCCGCGUUUUUUUAGUUAGUUGGUGAGGUAAAGGCCCAACAAGGCGAUGAUACAUAGCCGACCUGAGAGGGUGAUCGGCCACAUUGGGACUGAGACACGGCCCAAACUCCUACGGGAGGCAGCAGUAGGGAAUCUUCGGCAAUGGACGAAAGUCUGACCGAGCAACGCCGCGUGAGUGAAGAAGGUUUUCGGAUCGUAAAACUCUGUUGGUAGAGAAGAAAGUUGGUGAGAGUGGAAAGCUCAUCAAGUGACGGUAACUACACAGAAAGGGACGGCUAACUACGUG